UCUACACCACGGAUCCCAGUCCCACGCACUCAUCAAUACAUUUUGCAUCGCCGAUAAGGGCUCAAUUGUAGCCGUCGGCAUCUAACGAGACGACGGCACCGAUUGGACGGCAACUUCAAUAUUCAAUUCCUGGCUUCCGAGCUGUCUCCUGUUUCAUCCUCUUCCUCAAGCCACUCAAGCUAAAAGGAAAAUGGCAAUAAAGUUUCUUGAUUGGUAUUUGAAGAUUGCAGCUGGGUCGGCUCUAAUUGGAGGUUCCAUGGAGUUAUUCAUGAUCAAGACUGGUUUCUAUGACAAGGUAACUGUUCUGGAGUCGGAGAAGCGAGCUUGGGAGAAUUCCCCUGAAGCUCAAGCAAUGAGAGAAGAAUUGAAUCCUUGGAGAAAUCAUGAUGCACAAGAAAGAAAGAGUUCCUAGUGGAGCCACAUGGAGGAACGGGUUUUCGAUGUUGUUUGAUUUGUUUUGAAUAAUAGAUGUCCGAAGCACGAAGCUUGGGAUACAACUUCAUACGUUUACCGGCAUCGAGAUCUAUCCGAUCCUCCCGAGCUUUUAUACCCGUCUUUUAGGUGAGUUUUAUUUAUUUAUAGGCCAAAUUUCAGAAUGAAUAGUCGUGAAAGCUUGAUUUAUGUGCCACUUUCUUCAACUUUGUGGCCGUGAUCAUCAUCCUAGAGAUACCAGUUCUUGACUCGUAUUCACAUCAGAUAAAAUAUAAGAAUCCGAAAUUCGUAGAA
Long non-coding RNA from Hibiscus syriacus, 726 nucleotides. RefSeq lists it as uncharacterized. NCBI's taxonomy places the organism in Eukaryota, Viridiplantae, Streptophyta, Magnoliopsida, Malvales, Malvaceae. The transcript has 3 exons. The record is from RefSeq and is a predicted model, not a curated record.